UCCCUGGUGGCUCAGGGGUAAAGAAUCUGCCUGCAAUGCAGGAGACCCGGGUUCGAUACCUGGGUUGGGAA
RNAcentral lists this transfer RNA (71 nucleotides) under Ovis aries (sheep). It matches the Rfam family "tRNA". From Rfam's summary of the family: Transfer RNA (tRNA) molecules are approximately 80 nucleotides in length. Their secondary structure includes four short double-helical elements and three loops (D, anti-codon, and T loops). Further hydrogen bonds mediate the characteristic L-shaped molecular structure. tRNAs have two regions of fundamental functional importance: the anti-codon, which is responsible for specific mRNA codon recognition, and the 3' end, to which the tRNAs corresponding amino acid is attached (by aminoacyl-tRNA synthetases). tRNAs cope with the degeneracy of the genetic code in two manners: having more than one tRNA (with a specific anti-codon) for a particular amino acid; and 'wobble' base-pairing, i.e. permitting non-standard base-pairing at the 3rd anti-codon position. Lineage: Eukaryota; Metazoa; Chordata; Mammalia; Artiodactyla; Bovidae. The record is from Rfam by way of RNAcentral.